Telopea speciosissima is the source of this 367-nucleotide long non-coding RNA. RefSeq lists it as uncharacterized. Lineage: Eukaryota; Viridiplantae; Streptophyta; Magnoliopsida; Proteales; Proteaceae. The transcript has 3 exons. The record is from RefSeq and is a predicted model, not a curated record.
UAGUCUUUGAUUGUGAUUAAAAUAGGAUUGAUGAAGUGGAGAGAUGCGUCCGGAGCGUUGUGUGAUCGGAGUAUCCUUAUAAAGCUUAAAGGAAAAUUUUAUAGGACUGUCAUUCGACCGGCUAUGAUGUAUUGUGUGGAAUGUUGGGCAGUUAGGAAGCAUCAUAUAGAUAAACUAAGUGUAGCGGAGAUGAGGAUGUUGAGAUGGAUGUGUGGCAAGACUAGGAAGGAUAAAGCACGGUAUGAACAUAUUAGAGCUGCGUUGGGAGUAGUGUUUAUUCAUGAUAAGCUACGUGAGAGUCGUUUGAGGUGGCACGGCCAUGUUCAACGAAGGUCUUGGGAUGCUCCAGUUUGGAGGAGUGAUUUGA